Molecule: long non-coding RNA, 3534 nt
Organism: Trifolium pratense (red clover)
Lineage: Eukaryota; Viridiplantae; Streptophyta; Magnoliopsida; Fabales; Fabaceae
Exons: 5
Source: RefSeq, a predicted model, not a curated record
GCAUGGGAAAAAGAGGAGCAUUCUCCAAGACUUCUCCAACAUUGAUUUUCCCAUUAUUGUAAACAUGGAUGAUAUCAAUGCAUUAUACACCGCAAUUUCUUUGAACGUUUUCAAUUUCUGCAUUCAUUUCUUAGAUUUAUUGAUAUUGAUUAUUUUCUUUGACAUUGAUUGUUGGUCAAUCUUUAAAGGGAUCUGAAUCAUCGACAAGCAAGAAAUUAAAUAGAUGAUUUUGGUCGCGUUCUUAUUACAUGAUUGAUUAUUUUGGAUUUUGAUUACAUACAAUCAUAAAUCAAUCGAAUCACAAUAUGGGAUGGGUUGAAUCUCCGAGGUGAACGACUCAUCCAAACCCAGUAACACCCGAUUCGAACCAACCACCCGAGUGUUAAUAAAAAUAAAAAUGACAGUAUAGUAAUUUAGUGUUGAGGGGUAUUUAAGACCCAAACAACUAACUUUUCCCCCAUUCUCCAUAACCAUUUUCUGAAAACUAAAUCAAACUCUCUCACCUCUCUCUUUUGUUCCACCACCAUCACCCCAAACCCAUAUCACAUUCCAUAUAACUCAGCAUCAAUCUUGCAUGCAAUUGAAGAAAUAGAUUCAUAAUAACAGCUAGCGUUAAGUGCCUUUGUUGGUUAGGAGGAAAAAAAAAAAGCAACCCUAAUUUGUCGGCGCAUUCACUCAUCAAUUUGACUGCCGGUAAGCAUGCAUUAGACACAAAAACAUCUCAAUUCAAACUCAAAAAGCGCUGAAUGUUUUUAACCGAACUGUUCCCCAUAAGGCUUCUCGAGCUACUUAUUUGAAUAACCUAGGCAACUAGAAUCGAAUCAACAUUCAAAUUUAUUGCAUUAUACCCCUUCCUCUACCUCUUCCUCUCCCGCAACCAUUAGUUCCCGAUGCAUUGCUUGCAGGUAGAGCCAAUACUACUUUUAUUCUUUCGACAUUUGAAUCAUUUGCAUUUUGAUUGCAGAUGCUAAAAUUGUCUAGGUUAUUCAAUAAAUUUGAAUGGUGAUUUGAUUGUAGUUGCCUAGGUUACUCAAAUAAGUAGGCCGAGAAGCCUUUAUGGGGCACAAUUUGGUUAAAAACAUUCAACACUUAUUGAGUUUGAAUUGGGAUGUUUCUGUGUCUCAUGCAUGCUUACCGACAGUCAAAUUGAUGAGUGAAUGCGCUGGCAAAUUAGUGUUGCUUUUUUUUUUCCUCCUAACCAACAAAGGCACUUAACGCUAGCUGUUGUUAUGAAUCUAUUUCUUCAAUUGCAUGCAAGAUUGAUGCUGAGUUAUAUGGAAGGUGAUAUGGGUUUGGGGUGAUGGUGGUGGAACAAAAGAGAGAGGUGAGAGAGUUUGAUUUAGUUUUCAGGAAAUGGUUAUGGAGAAUGGGGGAAAAGUUAGUUGUUUGUGUCUUAAAUACCCCCUCAACACUAAAUUACUAUACUGCCAUUUUUAUUUGCAUUCCUUGUUUAUUAACACUAGAGUCACUAGUUGGAAUCAGGUGUUACUGGAUUUGGAUGACUGACUGAACUCGUGAAAUAAAAAAAAAAUGAUCAAAUGAGAAAGAUGGUCCAUAAAGAAGAAAUUAUAAGAAUAACAUAGGGCAAAAUACAAAUAUAAGACAUCCACCGUAAUGAUUUAUAAGCCAGAAAACUUCAAAAUCAAAUAAGUCAUAAAGGCUAGAUCAAUAUUGGAACAAAUCUUAAAAUUUGUAAAUUAAUCGACAAAACAACCAAUGAAGCCGUAAAUAAUUUUGUUAUUAAGGCCAUUCAGUUCAAUAUAAAUACACUAGCCUACCAAUACCUUUUCCAAUUGUCUUAGGGUUUGCAAUUUCACACCAAUUUCAACUUUUAGCGAAUAGCUCACUGCUAGAAACAUGAACCUAGUCGGAGAAGAUAGAGUAGACUACUUGAGUCUAAACGUGUUGUCUGAUGACUCACUCUUCUAGUACGUAUUUUUCCAUUCUUGUUACAUACAAUAUCAAUUCUGGAUAUAUAUCUUUCUUAGAGUAAGUAUAUAUUGAGAAAUUUUUUUUGAAGAUUAGACAUCUCAUAAUACUUUGUACUGUCUUAUUCAUGAACAUAUCUAGGAAAAAUUUGAGUGUGUGUGUGAUGCACCAUAAUUUAAGACAAAUGUGACACUUGACACAUAAAUUAAAUUAGACGUCAUCACAAUUCAAUCCAGGUGAGAUGAACCUUCAAAUCACCUAUUCAUGAAACAAAUUUUAGCUUCUUCCAAAUAACACAAAUACAAGCCACUCAAAUCACCGGAAGCAAAUUCUAACUUCUUUUUUAAACAAAAUAAUUUUUAGAGAAUCUAAAUCAAACGGGACUAAAAAUGUUUUGAAUUUACAAUGUUAAAUUAAUUACAUAAGGUUUGAGGGAGGAUUAGUCUAUGUAGUUGUGCGCAGAGAUAUCCGAUUUAUGCAGAAAAAUAAAAUAAAAGUGUAUUGAAUAUUUUUUAAAUUGAAAAGAAUUUCUUUUUUUAUAAGAAAAUAACUAUUAAAAUCCACAUUUGUAUUUGUCACCGACAACAACAACAACAACAAAAAAGGAAGGGAGCGGAUGUAUUUUAAAUCCACAUAUGUGUCAAUUUUGUGUCUUAAAUUUGUUUUUGAAUAACAUACAUCUUUUAUUUCUUUUUUUAGUAUGCUUAAUAAAUGCCCCAGAGACACCGUUAGCAUCACCCUUUCUUUUUUACCCUUAAAAGAUUGAACCAAACACACAAAAUUUAAAAUAUUACCUUUCCUUCCCCCCAAAACCCCCAAACCAAAUAUACCCUAUAAAGUUGUACAUAUAACUAAGGCUUAAUUACUUAAUUGGUCCCUUAAAGACAUUUAUGGUUUCAAAUUGGUCCCUUAAAGAAAAAAAGGGCCAAAUUGGUGUUCCACUUUUCACCGACCGAGCUUCUUUCCCCUUUUCUGUGUUCCACUUUUCGCCGGAAUCUGCCAUGGCAACCAUUUUUCGCCGCCGGUGAUAGACCAGCCACCAUACUUGAUGACGGUAAAAUCCAUACUACUUUAAAAUUUUAAUUAAAAGGAACCAUUUCACGAAGCAUCAAUGCAAGCUAGUGGACUUCAAUUUAAACAAAGGUAAUAUUGUUGCUACUUUAAAAUUUUAAUUAAAAGGAACCGCUUGAGGAAGCAUCAAUGCAAGCUAGUGGACUUCAUUUUAACAAAGGCUGAGGUCUUAAAUUGUGGAUUCGUGUUGACACAUCUGGAAAUUCAUAGGUCAUUGAAUUUGGAACGCGAUCGUUCGUAGAAAAGCAGACUUGUUGCCCUUACUAGGAGGGUUCAGAAGGUUAGAGUCGAAAUAAAGCAACUUAUGGAUGAUGACGGUGAUAUGGCUGAAAUGUACCUUACGGAGAAGAAAAGACGGAUAUAACUGUCAUUUGAUGGAGAUCAGUUUAUGCUUGGAUAUAGAUCAGUCACUCCUGUUUCAACACCACCUGAUUUUAGAAGGCUUGAUAAGAGCUUGAGCAUUGCUAGGAGUGUACACAAGAGGAUGAGAAGUAGCGAACGUAAUGCAGAAAAUAUAGAAGAGCUUGAGAUGUU